GGAGAGGGCACUACGAACGUUCUUGACGUCAAACGGUGUUUAGCAUUAUCGAUGACCGGCGGAAUUAAUAUUGAAAAACCCCACUUCAUUUAUGUCGUCCAUGAAAACAUUCAUCAUGCCGUGAGACGGAGAAUCAGUUGUGCGUAUCUUCGAUGAUGUCUGUGUUUAACUGUGACAAUACAUAGUACUAGCCAACCACGCAGUCACCAGUCAUGUGUGACAUGCAAAGAAAAUAUUUCUCCCCGCGGCUUCUCGACUACAUCGUGAUCACGGGGAGUCGGCACCCCAACCACAACAACCAUGUGUCCCAGACCCCGGAGCUGCUGCGACGCUACCCGCUGGAGGACCACAAGGAUUUCCAGCUCCCGAUUGAUGUUGUCUUCUUCUGCCAGCCGGAGGGAUGCAUCAGUGUGGGGCCCAAACGCAUGAGUCUGAGGGAGACCACCUCAUUCGUGUUCACGUUGACGGAAAAAGAUUCGGGAAUCACGAGAUACGGAAUUUGCGUCAAUUUUUUCCGACCUUUCGAGAAGCAGAGCUAUUCCUCCUGCGACUGGCAGAAGUCGGACAGACUGAACUUGUGUAGCAUGAAUUCUGGUGAUGGGGGCUCGUUGGAGUCUGAGAAGCCAAAAUCCCCCAGGACUAAGUCUAGGUCUCGGCCGGCUGGUCGUGUACGUAACAAUACCCUGACAUCGUUGUGUAUCAUCAGUCAUCAUCCAUUCUACUCGACGUUCCGCGAGUGCUUGUUCGUGUUGCGUCGGUUGAUCGAAGCGUGUCAUGACAGAAGCUGCACAAAAAGAAUUGGUGGAUCGAAAGGCUCCGCUAGGGACACGGUGUGGGGCGUGCUGACUGGACAGUGCAGUGACAACAUUCCUUCCCUUGUUAUGCAUGAAGUUCGUGAGAUUGAGACGUGGAUUCUGCGCCUACUUAGUGCUCCGGUUCCAGUGCCUAUGAAAACCAGAGUGGAGGUGAGCAUCUUGCCGAAAGACCUGCAGCCCCCUCUGCUGUUUGCCCUGCCCGACCACACCCGGUUCACGCUGAUCGACUUUCCUCUCCAUCUACCUCUUGAGCUGCUCGGUGUCGAGACGUGUCUCAAGGUCUUAACUGCUGUUAUCCUCGAACAUAAGGUUGUGUUACAGUCAAGAGACUACAAUGCCUUGUCGAUGAGUGUGAUUGCGUUUGUGUCCAUGUUUUACCCACUCGAGUACAUGUUUCCGGUCAUCCCCCUUCUACCAACAUGUAUGGCUUCUGCCGAACAGUUGCUCUUGGCGCCAACUCCAUUUCUGAUAGGAGUUCCAGCAAGCUUUUUCUUGUACAAGAAGGACUUCCAGCUGCCAGAUGAUAUUUGGCUGGUUGAUCUCGACUCCAACAAGAUUAUUUCUCCGUCUACCGCUGAACACUUACCACCAUUGCCAGAUCCUGAAAGUACCGCUCUGAAGACUCACCUAAAACAGGCUCUUGCGAGCAUGAGCAUGACUCCUCAGCCAAUCAAAAAUCUUGAUGCUCUCGCACAAAACCCUGAAAUGUGGCACCGUCGGGAAAGCUUCUCGUCACAGACGGGAUUCAAUCCGCUGAUAUACGGCAACGACGUCGACUCGGUGGACGUGGCGACGCGGGUCGCGAUGGUUCGAUUUUUCAACUCGCCAAAUAUUCUUGGAAACUUCUGUGAGCACACCAGGACUAUGCGGCUGUAUCCUCGUCCAGUUGUCGCUUUUCAGUUGUACAGCUUCCUGAAGUCUCGUCCGAUAAAAUCACACUUCACCGCUAGACUCGCACGCACACAAUCUGUCGAAUAUUUUGGCGAGUGGUCACUGAGUCCCCUGAACGUGGUGUACCUGCGGGUGCAGACCGGUGUCUACGAUCCAUCGCUGAUCGGUGACAAGCCCAAGUGGUACGCCCAGCACCUGCAGCCCCUGGAGUUCAAGGUGUACGAUGAGAACUCAACGCUCGGUGCCGCGCUCAGCUCCUCCUUGGAGAUGUACAGCGAUGAAAUACCCACAGACGAGAGUGGAAGUGACAGCGAGGGUGCGGAAAGUACGAGUUCCUCCUACUCCUCUCUCAGUGACUUCGUCACCGACAUGAUGAACAGUGAAAUAGAUGGGGAAUCCCCAGCGUUUUACCGAGAGAACCAGGUUCUCGCUGUAGACGAAUCGAAGGUGUUCUGCCCGCCCAGCACGCUGCAUGUGCCCGAGAACCCGGCCACUAACAGCGACUCCGCCCUGUCCCUGCCGGACAGCGACCUCAGCUCCUCGGACUCGUCCAGCCCAACGUACAGCCAGGACGCGCCCAAAGAUACCCAUUCCAAGGAUAGCGAGAAUGAGGAUGGCCAGAUAUUCCGAUAUGACUCGGGUCAUGUGUCCAUGAUUGGCCAGUCUAUCAGCAGCCGACCCGGCAGUACGAGUUCGCCUGAUUCCCUGCGAAAGUCUCCCCACCCACCCAACGUGCAGGUGAUACGCACGACCGACCCACACACGACAGGCUUUGAGCCCUCGGAGAAAUCACCAGCCAUGCUGAAACCGCUUACGGGGAACAGGUCCUUCUCCAGAAACGACAGGGCCAGCAACUCCAGUGGGGGAUCCAGUGGGUCCACAAGGAAAACACUGAAGGCAUCAAGUGAUCGGGACUCUGACAGAUCAUCAGGCUCCUCCAUUAUUUCCACCAUCAGCAAUGAGCUCACCGACAUGGCGCAGUCUGCAACUACCACUAUGUCAGAACUCUUCGGAAGCAAUAAGUCAACGACACAGCAACAAGUAAAUAAGGGCCACUCCCACCACAACGCGAUUGCCAACAAACCACCUGCCAAACAGUUCACUCCUCUUGGACCCCGAAAAGCAUUAGUGGAGAAGUCUGGCCUGGUGAAACAUGCGAGCAGCAACAAGCCAGAAAUUCGCAAACAGCCUUCUAUGGAUGCAAGGAGUUCUUCCAAUAGUGAGAACCAACAGUUUCUGAAGGAGGUGGUGAAGAGCGUGCUGGAAGGGCAGGGCGUUAGCUGGCUGAAGCUGAAUCGCAUCAAGAAGCUGAUGGAGGAUGAGAACUACCGCAACUUCAUCAUCAGCCGCCUCAACAAGAACCUGGACCGCAAGCAGCCCGACGACAUGCCACACAUGGAAGACGUGUGUGUGAACCGCACUAUCUUCAAGGGCAUGCUGACGAUUGCCAAAGCCAUUUGCCAUGGUUUGGAGCACACGUAUCAAAACCACGGUCUGGGUGGGAUGGCAAGUGCAUUCAUGUUGAUGGAAAUACUGCACACCCACUACUGGUGUCGCGAGAUCAUUGGAGGGAGCAACAGCAACCGCAGUGACAGUCUCACCCCCGAUAUGGCCUCACUUCAUGGAAGCCACGAGAGUUUAGCCUCGUCUAAAGGUGACGAAUCUAUGCAGAAAUCAUCCAACGUUCAGAGUGUAUCUGAAGAACACGGACCAGCUGUGAUUGGUUCUCCAGUGAUUGUCAACGGAGAUGAGUUUGAGAAUCUCGAGAUCCCUGUCAUGUCCGAUAGCAGUGGACAUUCGGACAACUCGGUAGGCGGGACAGUGCGGCCGGUGAUGGACUUAAACAAAAAUGUGGGGAAACCGCCGCUGCCUGUCCACCAGCCCGUGCGUACCUGUGAUAUCAUCGUGACUGACCUGGACGAGUCAAGCGUUUCGGCGCGGUCGGGCGAUAUGAUGCACGAUAUGGUGAGGAACAAGGAGCUGCUGAAGUCGACGCGACUCGACAAGUUCAACAGUCUUGAUUCAGAGAUCUCUGAGGCAAGCACACUCGUCAGCACGAGCUCGGAGAAAGACGACGAACACAGGAAGCGAUCGCGCAUCAACCACCACUCCAUACGCAGCGCACUCAGCGACAGCGAAAUGGAUUCCACUGGGGUGAUGCGUUUCAACAAGAGGAACAGAUCUCCCAGCUCGUGGAGUGCGAAGAGCAACCUGAGUGUGGGCUACCGGUACACGGACGGGAAACUCAUCAACACUGCGCUGCUGCAGCUGAAAACCACCAUGGCAAAAACAUACCUCUUUGAGGGCAUGCUCGGAAAGGACCGUUCUCGCCUGUGGGACCAGCUCCAGUUCUGGGAGGACCUCUUCCUCGAUGCUGUGGCCCAGGAACGCGACAUCAUCGGCAUGGACCAGAGACCCUCUGAGAUGAUGGAGAGAUACCGGUCUCUGGGCAACCAGGAACGUAAGCGCCUGGAGCACGACGAGGACCGCCUGCUGUCCCAGAUGCUGUACAACCUGGUGGGUUUCAUGGUGAUGAUGAACGUCAACAAGAACGACACACGCCGCAAGGUGCGGCGGCUGCUCGGCAAGUCGCACAUCGGACUGCUCUACAGCCAGGACGUCAACAACCUCCUCGACCAGAUCAACAACCUGUUUGGUAAUGAUAUUGACCUUCGACCUUUGGCGAGUCGACAGAUGCAGAAACAAUCAUUCACUGUCCACUGGGGGACGGACAAUUCAGGAGACAUGUUAUUCAUGGAGGUUUGUGACGACUGCCUGUUACUGCGGAGUGUGACGGGAACGAUACACGACCGGUGGUGGUUUGAGAAGCUCGUCAACAUGACGUACUGCCCGAAGACCAAGGUGCUGUGUCUGUGGAGGAAGCAGGGCGACAAGGUGCAGCUCAACCAGUUCUACACCAAGAAGUGUCGAGAGCUGUACUUCUGUGUGAAAGAAUCGAUGGAGAAAGCAGCGUCGAGAAAUGCAGGAAAAUUACCAGGUCCUGAGUUAGGUGGCGAGUUUCCCGUGCAGGACCUGAAGACGGGUCAGGGUGGGUUACUCCAGGUGUGUAUGGAGGGGAUAGGUCUCCUGCUGGCCAAUAGCAAGGACAUGGAGAUUCCAAAACUAAACAAAUAGUACAGCACAAGUACAAGUCCAGUAUGAGCAACGAGGCCGCCCUUAUGCUUCACCGAAUAAUUACCGUCCGAUGGGCUAAAGUAGGAUACAUGAGAAAAAAAAAGGAUGAAAACGGAAACAGCUGACCAGAUUUGCUAUGCAGUUCUAUGCUUAUUUUCCU
This 5001-nucleotide unclassified non-coding RNA is filed under the name Gigantopelta aegis. RNAcentral's name for it is "mAP kinase-activating death domain protein-like, transcript variant X4". Lineage: Eukaryota; Metazoa; Mollusca; Gastropoda; Neomphalida; Peltospiridae. The record is from RNAcentral.